This is a non-coding RNA of Phrynosoma platyrhinos (Desert horned lizard), 73 nucleotides long. The record is from the annotation of a GenBank genome assembly. NCBI's taxonomy places the organism in Eukaryota, Metazoa, Chordata, Lepidosauria, Squamata, Phrynosomatidae.
CGGAGCAUGGCGUAGUGGUUUGAGUGUUGGACCACAGCUCCAGGAGACCAAGGUUCGAAUCCCUGUUCAGUGA